GCGCCCGUAGCUCAGCUGGAUAGAGUACCUGGCUACGAACCAGGCGGUCAGAGGUUCGAAUCCUCUCGGACGCGCCA
This 77-nucleotide transfer RNA is filed under the name Vibrio cholerae. Its description in RNAcentral is "tRNA-Arg". It matches the Rfam family "tRNA". Rfam says of the family: Transfer RNA (tRNA) molecules are approximately 80 nucleotides in length. Their secondary structure includes four short double-helical elements and three loops (D, anti-codon, and T loops). Lineage: Bacteria; Pseudomonadati; Pseudomonadota; Gammaproteobacteria; Vibrionales; Vibrionaceae. The record is from RNAcentral.